This 482-nucleotide ribosomal RNA is filed under the name uncultured bacterium. RNAcentral's name for it is "bacterial SSU rRNA". It matches the Rfam family "Bacterial small subunit ribosomal RNA", at positions 30 to 507 of the family's 1533-position model. The record is from RNAcentral.
AUUGAACGCUGGCGGCAUGCUUUACACAUGCAAGUCGAACGGUAACAGGCCUUCGGGCGCUGACGAGUGGCGAACGGGUGAGUAAUGCAUCGGAACGUGCCCAGUCGCGGGGGAUAACUGCUCGAAAGAGCAGCUAAUACCGCAUACGAUCUGCGGAUGAAAGCGGGGGACCUUCGGGCCUCGCGCGAUUGGAGCGGCCGAUGUCAGAUUAGGUAGUUGGUGGGGUAAAGGCUCACCAAGCCAACGAUCUGUAGCUGGUCUGAGAGGACGACCAGCCACACUGGGACUGAGACACGGCCCAGACUCCUACGGGAGGCAGCAGUGGGGAAUUUUGGACAAUGGGCGCAAGCCUGAUCCAGCAAUGCCGCGUGCAGGAAGAAGGCCUUCGGGUUGUAAACUGCUUUUGUACGGAACGAAACGGUCUGGGUUAAUACCCUGGGCUAAUGACGGUACCGUAAGAAUAAGCACCGGCUAACUACGUG